GACGAACGCUGGCGGCGUGCCUAAUACAUGCCAGUAGGACGCAGUUGCGAACGGGAGAGUAACGCGUAGGUAACUACCUAUUAGAGGGGGAUAACUAUUGGACACGAUAGCUAAUACCGCAUACUCGUAGAUGGAACUGCGUGUUAUUAGCUAGUAGGUAGGGUAAUGGACUAACAAGGCAACGAUACAUAGCCGACCUGAGAGGGGGAUCGGCCACACUGGGACUGAGAGCCGUCCCAGACGCCUACGGGAGGCAGCAGUAGGUAAUCUUCGGGAAUGUGGGGAACCCUGACCGAGCAACGCCGCGUGAGUGAAGAAGGUUUUCGGAUCGUAAAGCUCUUUUGUUAAGGAAGCGGUACUUAACCAGAAAGGGACGGCUAACUACGUGCCAGCAGCCGCGGUAAUAC
RNAcentral lists this ribosomal RNA (407 nucleotides) under uncultured bacterium. Its description in RNAcentral is "partial 16S ribosomal RNA". It matches the Rfam family "Bacterial small subunit ribosomal RNA", at positions 28 to 526 of the family's 1533-position model. The record is from RNAcentral.